AUUGAACGCUGGCGGUAUGCUUAACACAUGCAAGUCGAACGGUAACGAAGCUAGCUUGCUAGCAGGCGACGAGUGGCGGACGGGUGAGUAACGCGUGGGAAUCUACCUAAUAGCGGGGGAUAGCCAGAAGAAAUUCUGAUUAAUACCGCAUACACUCUACGGAGUAAAGAUGGCCUCUUUUUAAAGCUGUCGCUAUUAGAUGAGCCCGCGUUAGAUUAGCUAGAUGGUGAGGUAAGAGCUCACCAUGGCAACGAUCUAUAGCUGGUCUGAGAGGAUGAUCAGCCACAUUGGGACUGAGACACGGCCCAGACUCCUACGGGAGGCAGCAGUGGGGAAUAUUGGACAAUGGGCGCAAGCCUGAUCCAGCAAUACCGCGUGUGUGAAGAAGGCCCUAGGGUUGUAAAGCACUUUUAUGAGUGAAGAAAGGAUGAUGUUUAAUAGAUGUCGUUUUUGACGGUAACUCACGAAUAAGCACCGGCUAACUCCG
RNAcentral lists this ribosomal RNA (487 nucleotides) under uncultured Marinicella sp. RNAcentral describes it as "bacterial SSU rRNA". It matches the Rfam family "Bacterial small subunit ribosomal RNA", at positions 30 to 505 of the family's 1533-position model. The record is from RNAcentral. Lineage: Bacteria; Pseudomonadati; Pseudomonadota; Gammaproteobacteria; Lysobacterales; Marinicellaceae.